UACGUAGGUGGCAAGCGUUGUCCGGAAUUACUGGGUGUAAAGGGAGCGCAGGCGGGAAGCCAAGUCAGCUGUGAAAACUACGGGCUUAACUUGUAGACUGCAGUUGAAACUGGUUUUCUUGAGUGAAGUAGAGGUUGGCGGAAUUCCGAGUGUAGCGGUGAAAUGCGUAGAUAUUCGGAGGAACACCGGUGGCGAAGGCGGCCAACUGGGCUUUAACUGACGCUGAGGCUCGAAAGUAUGGGGAGCAAACAGG
This 253-nucleotide ribosomal RNA is filed under the name uncultured bacterium. RNAcentral's name for it is "partial 16S ribosomal RNA". It matches the Rfam family "Bacterial small subunit ribosomal RNA", at positions 524 to 776 of the family's 1533-position model. The record is from RNAcentral.